RNAcentral lists this ribosomal RNA (481 nucleotides) under uncultured bacterium. Its description in RNAcentral is "partial 16S ribosomal RNA". It matches the Rfam family "Bacterial small subunit ribosomal RNA", at positions 28 to 507 of the family's 1533-position model. The record is from RNAcentral.
GAUGAACGCUGGCGGCGUGCUUAACACAUGCAAGUCGAACGAAGCACUUUAUUUGAUUUCCUUCGGGACUGAUUAUUUUGUGACUGAGUGGCGGACGGGUGAGUAACGCGUGGGUAACCUGCCUUGUACAGGGGGAUAACAGUUGGAAACGGCUGCUAAUACCGCAUAAGCGCACAGCAUCGCAUGAUGCAGUGUGAAAAACUCCGGUGGUAUAAGAUGGACCCGCGUUGGAUUAGCUAGUUGGUGAGGUAACGGCCCACCAAGGCGACGAUCCAUAGCCGACCUGAGAGGGUGACCGGCCACAUUGGGACUGAGACACAGCCCAAACUCCUACGGGAGGCAGCAGUGGGGAAUAGUGCACAAUGGGCGAAAGCCUGAUGCAGCGACGCCGCGUGAGCGAAGAAGUAUUUCGGUAUGUAAAGCUCUAUCAGCAGGGAAGAUAAUGACGGUACCUGACGAAGAAGCACCGGCUAAAUACGUG